UACGUAGGGGGCAAGCGUUGUCCGGAAUCAUUGGGCGUAAAGCGCGUGUAGGCGGCUCGGUAAGUCUGCUGUGAAAGUCCAGGGCUCAACCCUGGAAAGCCGGUGGAAACUGUCGAGCUAGAGUCCGGAAGAGGCGAGUGGAAUUCCUGGUGUAGCGGUGAAAUGCGCAGAUAUCAGGAGGAACACCAAUGGCGAAGGCAGCUCGCUGGGACGGUACUGACGCUGAGGAGCGAAAGCAUGGGGAGCGAACAGG
RNAcentral lists this ribosomal RNA (253 nucleotides) under uncultured bacterium. RNAcentral describes it as "partial 16S ribosomal RNA". It matches the Rfam family "Bacterial small subunit ribosomal RNA", at positions 524 to 776 of the family's 1533-position model. The record is from RNAcentral.